AUUGAACGCUGGCGGCAGGCCUAACACAUGCAAGUCGAACGAGUGGCGGACGGGUGAGUAAUGUCUGGGAAACUGCCUGAUGGAGGGGGAUAACUACUGGAAACGGUAGCUAAUACCGCAUACCAUCGGAUGUGCCCAGAUGGGAUUAGCUAGUAGGUGGGGAAACGGCUCACAUAGGCGACGAUCCCUCGCUGGUCUGAGAGGAUGACCAGCCAAACUGGAACUGAGACACGGUCCAGACUCCUACGGGAGGCAGCAGUGGGGAAUAUUGCACAAUGGGCGAAAGCCUGACGGAGCAACGCCGCGUGUGUGAUGAAGGUCUUCGGAUCGUAAAACUCUGUUAGUAGGGAAGCGGUACCUGAUCAUAAAGCCCCGGCUAACUCCGUGCCAGCAGCCGCGGUAAUAC
This 406-nucleotide ribosomal RNA is filed under the name uncultured bacterium. RNAcentral's name for it is "partial 16S ribosomal RNA". It matches the Rfam family "Bacterial small subunit ribosomal RNA", at positions 30 to 526 of the family's 1533-position model. The record is from RNAcentral.